This is a long non-coding RNA of Lathyrus oleraceus (garden pea), 1863 nucleotides long. RefSeq lists it as uncharacterized. The transcript is spliced from 5 exons. NCBI's taxonomy places the organism in Eukaryota, Viridiplantae, Streptophyta, Magnoliopsida, Fabales, Fabaceae. The record is from RefSeq and is a predicted model, not a curated record.
UUGUGCCGAGUACAAGUCUUGGAAACCUUCCUUAGGACUCUUCUUUGACCUUUUUUUUUGUAGCCCGUACUUCCCCAGAGUGAUUUUUCUAUAGUGUUUCAUGUUGUUGGUGAAAUCCCUUACUUCCAAAUCUCAUAUGGCCUUUUGUUUGUCUAUAGUUCAGGUCGGAAGUGUCUACUCUUACGGAUGAGGUUUUUGGAAGUACUAGUAUGGAGUUUAUUUCCACCGACUUAUUUCUUCUUAUCACUUCAAGUCAACUCCUCUAUCUUCUGAGGAAGUAAAGAUGAAAGAGGAUUUACGCAUUUAUCAGGGGCUAGGUUAUGAAGAAGGAUUUGGCCCGGUGAAGUAUUUUCUUUUCAUAAAAAGAAAAGGCAAAUAGAUACUUAUGUGAUCAUUAUGUGAUCAUUAGUGUGUCUGAUCAUACAGAGAGACAAAAAUUCUCUGGGGAGGAUGGAGAUUUGAGCGUCAUUUUUUUAACAGUAUAGCUUGUGUCUUAAAGAUAACAUGGAUCAGUUGAGUCAAUUACAAAAAGCUCUGGCAUUUCCCAAUUAUUAGGGUCUUAUAACUGACUUGUCUGUCCGGGAAACCGGUGACACUUGUUGUUGCUUCUACUUUUUCUCCGGAGGCUCAAAUGCCUGUUGUGGUGGUUGCUCCGGCAGUAAUUGAGACUUCUAUCCCGACCACUGCUCUUGAGGUGGGUCAGCCGAUCACUAGGGCAGUUGGUAUUUCUGUUCGGUCCCUUAAAAUUUCUUUCGCAUUGAAUCCCAAAUCUAUUUGGAGGUUUCUUUGUUGAGAAUCAUCUUCAAAGGUGCUUGAUCCAUGGCCUGAAACAAGUAGUUAUUUACUUUAAGAACCUUGAGUUUCAAUGCCUCUAGUUCUACCUUCUGCGCAACUCUCCGAACUGCUCCCUUGGCAGGCGAGGAAUUGCAACCAGCAGAAAAUUCUCGUUGAAAAUUUCCGUUGAUCUACAACUAAUAUUAUUCUCUCAAAUCUCACUAUGUUUCACUCAGAUUUUUCUCUAAAUUAACUUGAUCCAAUACCACUAUUAACUUAGACUACAACGAGGCACCAAAAAUGUUGUUUUUAUUAAAUGAUUAGUUAAAAUAAUAAUGAUUGCAAAUUUAUCGUAUAAGAAGAAGAUAUGUUCUGGAAAUUAUCUAUUUUCCCUACUGCAUUCAUAUGUUGCCACGUAUCCUCUUCUUCCCCAACCCAUGUGCUUGUUUGUUUACGAAAAACCCCUUCCUUACUUCCUAUUCUUUCAUUUCUCUUUCUUCUUCUUUUCUCUCUCUUUGUGUUUCUUCUUCUUCUUCCUUCACUGAAACUGCAUUUAUUUAAUUUACCUUAUCCACAACGAUGGGUCGACCUUUUGAGAUGAUAAAGGACAUCACGAAAAAGAAGAAGUUGUGGAAAGUUGCGGGGUUCAUCACAAAUGGAGAUUAUGAUUUAGUUUGUUGGAAUCAAAACCACCAGAUCUGAAAUCAACACUUAUCUUCUUCAUACUUACGAGUUGUGAACUGCUGCAGUCAUUCUCCAAGACGCAUAACCAAUCUCAUAAGCAAUCAAAUUCUUAGCACGUAGGUGCUUUAGAUUCACAAAAGCAGAUUGUUGCUACAAAGUUCAAGGUAUGGCUUUCUGCUCUAUGAGGCUUACACAUCUCAAGAUCCAUUGAGUGUCUCAGUUGUUGUUUUGCCACAAUUUAAUAUCCCUCCUGAAAUGUAUCAAGUUGGAUUCACCAAACUGUAUCUUCGAACAGAGAAGGACUAUUGCAUCCGUAUUUAUUGUCAAUGAGAUUAAACAGUGAGAAACAAAGGAUGGUUGAGAUACGGAAGGAACUUCGACCUCGGUCCUAUAGAAUUAAGGCAA